This 28-nucleotide small RNA is filed under the name Bombyx mori (domestic silkworm). RNAcentral's name for it is "ovarian small RNA-3838". Lineage: Eukaryota; Metazoa; Arthropoda; Insecta; Lepidoptera; Bombycidae. The record is from RNAcentral.
UGGGUUCAUCAGGGCCGACCACAGAGUA